UUAAAACACUUUAAAACACUUAUAGACCAUGAUUAAAAAUGGUUAAAAUAUAUGGUCUAUCAACUCCCCCAGACUUACCUUUUUGCUUGUCCCCAAGCAAAACAGACGGGCAGUCUCUCUGAAAGAGGUUUUGAAAACAGCAGGGACUCACAUGAUUUAAAACUUAGAAUCGUCACCUCUACAAUAUUAAAAUCCACAUAUAAGAUGUCCUAAUCACAGAAGCACAUUAUACCAUAUCCUAGCUUAGCAACCAAAUUCACCUAGCAAAUCAUGUCUGACAUUCCCCUCUACCAACCUCAUUUCUUAACAUAAAUAAAUGUGUAUGCUUUACCUUGGGAGUAUCGAUCACAAGACACAUGGACUCUUACCCCAACAGGUAUCUGAGUAAAUAGGCAGUGUUGUUCUGGUUUCUUUUACUCUAUAUCUUCCUUCUCUGAAUCCUUUUUAUCUCAAUUCCAAUGAGCAAAGAUGCCGAUGCACCAUCUUAUUCACUUUCUUUUCGAUUUUUUUUAUUAUUAUUAUUUUUUUUUUCUUGACAAAGUGUAGGCGAAUAGUGGGGUCAUCGGUAAUGUACCUACCCCUCGCUUCAAACAAUGUGUGAUCAUUCUAUUAGAGUAGAAUAAUGGGGUCAUCGGUAAUGUACCUACCCCUCUAAACCACAAGAAAUCAUCUCAAUCUUUUAUUUUAUUUUAUUAGGAUGCCAAAGGGAGGAGAUAAGGAAACCAAAAUCACUCAGACUUUUACCUUUCAGACCUGAAGGAGGAAUCCGAUCCAGUGUAUACCAAGCCCCAAGACAAGCAGUUAAGUCAAAUUAGGUUGGAGGUCAACUUUGGUUCUUUCAAACAAUCUCAGCAAGUGUGAACAUAGUUGACAGGUUGAUCCACUUUAGUAUCUUUAGUACUAUCUGCAAUCAGUAAGUCUAGAAUGGUGCUAAAGACUGGUUAGAUAACAAGCAUUAAUCUAAUAAGUUCAUUAUCCCCUUCUUGACUCAAUAAAACCAGAUUUUGAAUUUUUUUUAAAUAAGACUCAUAAAGGUAGAUAAACGUUAGUAAUCCCCCCAUACUUAAAUUACACUGUCCCCAGUGUAACACAGUCGGUGGUAAGGUGAAAAUCAUAAAGCAGAAGUACAAAAUUUAACAAGUAAGAACGAUAACCUGCUUAGUAUCGAUCGAUACAAUGAAGUGACAAUCGAUCGUUGUUGAUGAAGCGUUGUCGAUCGAUAUCGAGAUGGUCUCAUCGGUCGAUGAUCUGAGCAAUCGUUUACAUGGAUCUGUUUUUUUUUUUUUUUCAUAACUAAAACACAAUAUCAGUAAAACCUCCCCCAGACUUAGAUAACGCUGUGACCAGUGUAUAUCCAGUCGGAGUUAUGGUGUAA
This 1375-nucleotide long non-coding RNA is filed under the name Brassica rapa (field mustard). Its description in RNAcentral is "long non-coding RNA (BRAP_LNC005766)". The record is from RNAcentral. Lineage: Eukaryota; Viridiplantae; Streptophyta; Magnoliopsida; Brassicales; Brassicaceae.